RNAcentral lists this long non-coding RNA (4126 nucleotides) under Sus scrofa (pig). RNAcentral's name for it is "lncRNA (ENSSSCG00030059942.1)". The record is from RNAcentral. Lineage: Eukaryota; Metazoa; Chordata; Mammalia; Artiodactyla; Suidae.
GGGGCCAGGAAGAAAGACAGAGCCUGGGCGACAGAGACAGAGAGGCUUCCUGCAGCUCUCUUCUUAAGAGACAGUGCUGCUUCCCGGAAGACUUCAGCAAACCUUGCCAACUUUAAUUGAACGCAAAUGGACACAUGGCCUUUUCUGAACCAACUGCUGAUUCGUGAGACACGUCCACAGGCAUGAAGUUUCGGUUCACACAUUUUCACAGACACCUCCUGAUGUGUGAACGUAUUCGUUCAUUCUCCUGUUCAGCACUGAGGAGGAUGCUUUAACGGCUACAGAGGAAGCUGCCAUGAACAGGCUCGGUACACGACUCCGUAUUCCUAGCGGAGUUUCUCUGCAGUGUAUCAGUAAGAACAGCAUCCCUGAGUCCUAAGGUACAGGAAUCUUAACCUUUGUUCUCCUCCGUAGAGGCUGUACCAUGCUCGGUCUCCACCAGCUGGGCGUGAUGGUUCUGCCCCCACACACACUCUCGCCCGCACAUGCGAGUCCAACAUCUCCCCUCCCCAGGUCACCACUGGCAUUUGCCUGUUCCAAGGAGUCAGGCUUCUUGAAACGGUCUGUCACUCCUGCUGGUCUCCAAACUCCACGGAGGCAAAGACUGUUUACUUCCUUCUCUCCCAGACCCUGGACAGUGCUCAGCACUUAGGAAGUUUCAUGAGGGAAAGAAGGCCAGAUGCUGAGCUUUACUGAAGCCAGGGCCCCAGCCACCUUCUCUGCGUAAAUCUUUGGCUAUGCCGUUAACAGUACGGAGGGCGGGUGGGAGGUGCUGGGAAAGGCUUGCUAUGAGCUGAAUCAGCACACGCUCUGUCUGCAGGGUGGGGAAAAGAGGCGGCCCUCCAGCUGCCGAUCAGUCUCCUCAAGAUCAGCCUCAUCCAGGAGUCCUUGUCCCCUGCCCUUCCCCCACGGAGCUUUGGGUCACUAGCCCCUCUCCACGUCUCCUGGCCAGGGUCUCCCUCAGCCUCUGGCUCAGGCUCAGUCGUUCAGGUCCAUCUGGUUUACUCUCUGAUCGAGAUGGGGGCAGGGAAGCGGGUGGGGGGGGGCGGGUCGGAGGAUGAGGAGGAAGGCAGUCUUCCUGGUCCCGCCCAGCAGGCAGCAUCCCAAACCUCAACUUCUCAGUUCAGGACUCUGAUAAAGGAAUUUGGUGGUCCUUCUGCUUUUUAAAUUCCUCCUUCUAUUGUCCUCACUUAAAAUGGGCCAAAUUCCUAGAAAAAGACAAGUGUGCACCACACCCAAGUCGUGCAUCCAAACUUUUCUGUUUCUAACAAAUUCGGGGGCAGGGGCGCCCUCUGGAGGCCUAUGAAAGUGUGUGCGGGCAUUUUUCGCUUUUUCCCUGCUUGGGAAUUGAAUGGGUCAGGGGCAGGGAGGAGUGAGACCCAGCAUGAGCCGGACAGGCCCACACAGGGAGGAACUGUCCGGCCUAACAUGCCCAUCGCUCCCUUGUUAAAAAACUCUGCGGGCUCCAGGAGGCUGAGGACAAGUGUGUCCCCAACACCUGGCCUGGAUGGGAGCUCCGCAAACACCUGCUAAGGGAACGAAGGCAUGUGUGAACGUGGUAUUCUACCGCCCCAGCCUGCAGAACUCAAGGGCCCACUACAAGCACACCUUGAAAACCAGGGUGUUAACUCCUCGGUCAGAAAAAGAUAGGAAUCUGAGGGGAAAUUAUCCUUCCUGCCGGAGGGGGCAGGGGAAACAUAUCUGUAUCUCAGACUUCACAAAGCAGCUAAAACCUUACAGGCACCCUCACCUGCCUAACAAUGGCCAUGAAUGAACCCGGCGGGGCAAACUUUGCCAAAGGAAUUACGUGGGCUUUUGAGCGAGAGUGAAGGGAAUUCCCAAGCUCAUCUAAUGAGAGAGGAGAGAGCGAGGGACAAAGAGCCGGGCUCUGGAUCAGAAGCCAAAGGGUCAGACCUCGGCUGGGACACCUAGUAGCGAGCUGGCAGUUGCCAAACCUCUCCAAGCCUUGUCUUCCUCAUCUAUAAAAUAGGGACAAUGACACUUACCCUAGAGGACAAUGUGAGGAUUAGACGAUCGUACAAGUAAAGCACAGUGCCUGGAUCUGAAGAAACACACCAUCGCCAUCAUCAGUUAAUUAUCUGAAAGGCAACCCCAGAGGGACGGCAGUAACAAAGCCGCCGAUCACCUUGGGGAACAGAACAGACACGUGGCCAUUCUUUUACCCAAGGGCUUACGCAGACCAGCAGACCACGGAACGCUGUGUUCCUAAGAGACACAAAUGAAGUCGUUUUAUUCUGCCCCUAAGUCAUCUUGUUCCCUGUUGAACAACACAGCAUUGUGACUCAUGUUAAUGAUGAUUCUGUUUCUCUAUCUCUGAGAUGAUAAAUACUUCACUUUUAGGCCUCACUUGCAGAAAACGAAGGCCCUCCAGCUAACUUACUCCGCAAACUUAUACAAAUUCUCUUUACUUCCCCCACCCUCCAUCUCCUCCCCACCCAAGGCCACUGCUGACAUUUGGCUGUUCCAGGGAGUAGACGAGUGCUUAAUCCAGUAACUUCAAACAUCGAUAAUGAUGAAAACACUUGGCAUCUGUUUUCUGUGGAAACAUGAAAGCUUCCAAGCAAUAUUUACAGAACCCACUUCCGCAACCACUGCUCUCCAGUUUGAUGAAGGAACAGUAAAACAUGACGUUCCAGAUCAGUUACAAGCUGUUCCUGGACUGUGUCAGGGCCAAUCUUUUAUCGUUUCAAAUUUAGGAGUCCGCCACUAGAAAAUAAUCACUUACCAGCUGAUGCAGCAAAUGCUCUCUCCUCUCACUCCCAGGCAAUACAGUUUGGGGUCUUCUUGACUCAAAUCGCAACCAAAGCCCCUUCCACACAUUUUGGAGAUGGCUGGGGAUCGGGGGAUUAAUUCCCUACCAGGAGAAUGUGAAUUGGGGCAUGUUCGUGAGUUCAUCAGUCUUUUAGUAAAGAUGCUCUGGCAUAAACAAAUCAACGAGGGAACAGGGAAGGGGAAUUUAAAAAUAAAAAAACCCAACUCGGUCCCCAUUCAGAACAGUGGGAAAAUCCUCCCCAGGAGAGCCUGUGUGCAGCCUGCAAUUUUCACCCAUCCAAUUUCACGCCACAGUAUCGGAUGUGAAGCAAACCCACCAUCCCUCAGUAUCACUACGUGUAUGAGGCCGAAUCAUGAGCCCCAAAGACAUCAGGUCCUAACACCUGGAACCAGUGACUGUGACCUUAUAUGCAAAAAGGGGUCUUUGUAGAUGUGAUUAAAUUUAAAAUCUUGAGAUAGGGAGAUUAUCCUGGAUCAUCUAUGGGCCCUAAAUGCCAUCACAAGUGUCCGGCAAAGGGCGAUCAAACACAGAAGAUAAGGACCUAUGGCCAUGGGGGCAGGGACGGUGACACAGCCCUAGCCAAGGAAUGUCAGCAGCCACCAGACACUGAUUUUCCCCUAGAGCUCCCAGCACAAACAGAGUCCUGCCGACACCAUGACUAGGACCCGAUGGAACUGAUUUUGGAAUUCUGGCCUCCAAAGCUAAGGACAUAAAUUGCUGUUGUUUGAAGCCCCUAUGAGGCACUUUGUCUGUGGCACUUUGUUAGAGCAACCAUAGCACACUAGUAUAACUAGGCAAAUAAAAGGCAGAUCAGAGAGAGUUAAGAAUUUAGCACUGUAAAGAAUUUAAUGCAAUCCUCCCUGUGUUUCUGUUUGAUACAUCAGAGAGGAGGCCAAGGGCCGUGACAAAUCCACCCACAGUGGGAGGCAGAGCUGAAACCAGGUCUUCUGAGUCGCGCAGUUCUUUCUAAGGAAGGGAGGUCCAGCCUUUGGCCUGUGCGGGUACCCUCCUAACUUUCUCAGACUGUUUCCAGGGCUCUACAAUACUCUCCCCUCUGGCGGCAACAGGCCACAGGUUACUGUUUAAAUUUGAAUUAAUUACAAGUAAAUAAAAUUUAAAAUUCAGUUCCUUGGCAUUCCUGGUGCAGUGCUAGGGGAUAGGUAUAGCUCUGUAGCACCAGGAUGCAGGUUCAAUCCCCAAGCCGGCACAGUGGGUUAAAGGAUCCGGCCUUGCUACAGAUGCAGCAUAGGUUGCAACUGAGGCUCAGAUCUGAUCCCUGGCCCAGCUAUAUCAUAUGCUGUGGUGGCCAAAAAAGGAAAAAAAAAAAAAAAA